RNAcentral lists this long non-coding RNA (40179 nucleotides) under Capsella grandiflora. RNAcentral describes it as "long non-coding RNA (CGRA_LNC001672)". The stretch from base 23125 to 23320 matches the Rfam family "U2 spliceosomal RNA". The record is from RNAcentral. Lineage: Eukaryota; Viridiplantae; Streptophyta; Magnoliopsida; Brassicales; Brassicaceae.
AAGAGAGAGAGAGAGAGAGGUGUUGGGACAUCUGUGAAGAUGAGUUGAAUGGGAUCGGGUCCAAAGAAAGACUCAAUAAAUGCAUGAGAAAAUAUUAGCUAUUUGUCACUUUCAACACAGCCCCCAUUGCACGAGUUGUUCUACCCAAAAAAACAGAGUAAGUUUUAAAGCUUGAAGUACCUUUAUCUUCCAAGAAACUUUUUAAAACCGAUUCAAGUAAAAUUAAAAGUUUCACUAUUAUUAGGCUUUUUAUAUAUACAAAAUUUGAUAAUGAUGUGUGUAUGAUUGUUUGUAUUCACGUUAUGGAAGUUGGAAUAUAAAAGGAGUUUGCUUUUGUUUUUAACAAAAGAAAGAAGAAGAUAUAUAUAUAUAUGAUUGAUCCAUCUUGAAGGCUUAAAAGCCAAAUAACAUAAAUGAGAAACAAUAAAUGUUGUGUUACCAAUUAAAGUUUUUUAAAUAAAAUAUAAAAAAGGAUGGUAGCAAAGUUGAGGAAUCUUUACAUUAAAGCACCUUCCCACUCAGUACAUGUAUUACACUAAAACCUCUAUAAAUUAAUAAUGUUGGGACCACAUAAUUUUAUUAAUUUNNNNNNNNNNNNNNNNNNNNNNNNNNNNNNNNNNNNNNNNNNNNNNNNNNNNNNNNNNNNNNNNNNNNNNNNNNNNNNNNNNNNNNNNNNNNNNNNNNNNNNNNNNNNNNNNNNNNNNNNNNNNNNNNNNNNNNNNNNNNNNNNNNNNNNNNNNNNNNNNNNNNNNNNNNNNNNNNNNNNNNNNNNNNNNNNNNNNNNNNNNNNNNNNNNNNNNNNNNNNNNNNNNNNNNNNNNNNNNNNNNNNNNNNNNNNNNNNNNNNNNNNNNNNNNNNNNNNNNNNNNNNNNNNNNNNNNNNNNNNNNNNNNNNNNNNNNNNNNNNNNNNNNNNNNNNNNNNNNNNNNNNNNNNNNNNNNNNNNNNNNNNNNNNNNNNNNNNNNNNNNNNNNNNNNNNNNNNNNNNNNNNNNNNNNNNNNNNNNNNNNNNNNNNNNNNNNNNNNNNNNNNNNNNNNNNNNNNNNNNNNNNNNNNNNNNNNNNNNNNNNNNNNNNNNNNNNNNNNNNNNNNNNNNNNNNNNNNNNNNNNNNNNNNNNNNNNNNNNNNNNNNNNNNNNNNNNNNNNNNNNNNNNNNNNNNNNNNNNNNNNNNNNNNNNUUAUCUUAUUAUCUUAUCGAAUUUGGUUAAUUUUUACAUUGGUCCGACUUAGGACCAUCAAAACUUAUUAAUUUAUAAUGUUUAUUAAUUUAUAGAGUAUUAAUUUAUAGACGUUUUCCUGUAUAUAGUCCAUAUAACACUGAUAAAGUUUACUCUCCAAUAUGAAAAGUGUGUAUGAUUUGGAAACUGUUUUGUUUUCCCCCAAGUCAGUUGAGCCAAAAUAAAUAUUCUGUGAAUCCCAAAUAUGAUUUUAGUUGAGAUUUGCAGAAACUUAAAAGGAAGGACCUAGAAAGUAUUGAAGCUCUGCCCGUAGUUUCAUUACUGCUUCGGAAUAAAAAACAGAAUCAAAAGUUUAAAAAAAGUUUGGAAGCAUGGUAGAAGCGUGUUUCCGAAAAAAGCAAAUCGGAAGCGUUUUUUUUAGUCAAACAAAUCAGAAAAGUUUUAGAAGCCAAAACUGCUUGGAUUUGCCUAUAUACUGCUUAGAAAUAUAUUUAGACAAAAAAAAAUACAGUUUAAAUUAGAAACCAAAAAAAAAAAAAGAGAAGAAAGAACACAUUAUCUUAAUGUCAGUGUAUACAAAAUAAAUGCUCUGUGUAAAAGUAUGUUCCUUUUUGAUCGAAAUGCGAAAAAUAAAUUAAUGCUCAAGGCAGACCAAAGGAAAUAAAUAAAUAAUAAUAAUGCAAAACCUCAACCACGCGCUCUCGGUCUUGAAAUUUCUAUUUUAUGCGAAAAUAACCCAUUUUCGUGGGUUUUAGUCCAGGGGUUUUUGUCUCACGCGCUCAACGCGCUUAAGUUACGCGUGGGUUUGCUUCUUGUGGCAUCCUAAAUUGGCUUAGCUUUAGAAAUAUUCUGCAUAAUGAACUGAAAUUAAAUUAACUUCAUUAAUUCAUAAUUUAUCCAGGAAAAUUAAUUAUAGUCAGUUACCACCAAUUAUAAUUUUAUGAUUGGGAAAUGAUCAGAAAUUGAAUACAUGCAUGGUACAAAUAUAUAUUUAUGAAAAACAACAAAUGAAAAGAGUAAAAGCAUCAUGAAUAAAGAUUAAUAAAAAGACUGAUCUCAGUGGUCCUUUUUUAUUAGGUUCUUUUCCAGUUUUUUCUUUCUGAGCUAUUUGUCGAAACAUAUAUAACUAUAAAACGUUAACUCAUUUAACAAAAAUAAAGAAAUGGUGUUUAUGAUCUAAUUCAAUAGAAUAUCGAGAAAUAUCAUUUAGCUUAACUUCUCUAUGCAAAAAAAAAUAAUUAAAAAAAGGUAUAAAUGAUAUUUUUUUCCUUUAAAACUCUUCUAAAUCGUUAAUAUUGUCACGUAAUGUGCCUUUCUAUAAAAGUAAUUAGUUUGCUUUUAUCACUACUGUUAUUUUUGUUGUUGUUACUUGUUUCACCUUCUACUAUUUUGAAAGUAUUAAAAAAAGAAAGGUAAAUAGAAAUAUUUUUAAUAGUUUUAACACUUUUCUCGUUUAAUUUCCACGAAUGUAAUAGAAUUUAGAAAAACUUAUUACCCAAGAAAAAACUUAUUACUUUGUGUGGUUUGAAUUAUUACCUCCGAAAUUAGUUUUUCAUAUCCAAAUAUAGAACCUUGAAAUAGCCUCCAUCAGACAAAAAAAAGAAAGUUAUAGAAAAAAUCCCUCAACCCAUUGCAUUAUCUAUUUUCUUCUUUUAUGAUCAACAUUAGAAAUUUGCGGAUACUAUUUGUUUUUUUUUUUCUUUUUGAUAAAAAUUUUUUUGAUAAAGUAUUACAAAUAUAACACUUACUAAGGAGGGGAAAAAAAGGAAAUUUCUCCAUUUUUUUUAUUUUGUUUCUUUUACAAAAAAAAAAAAGAAGAGAAGAAAGAACAAGAAGAAGAAAAAAAAGAAAAUAAAAAAUGUGGCUACCGAAAGCAGAAGCGACAAACAACAAAGGAACGAGAAGUGGUUCUGUGGCGAUUGCAAUAGAUAAAGACAAAAGUAGCCAAAAUGCUAUCAAAUGGACAUUGGAGAAUCUUGCCUCUCGUGGACAAACUCUUGCCCUUAUUCAUGUCCUUCCCAAAUCUCAAUCUUCUCUAGGUUCACAUUAAUAUAUUAUGUCUCACAUUUCAUUUCCAGUUUAGUUUUUAGGGUUUUUAAAUUGUGUACGUAAUUCAAUUGCAGACAUUGAAGAAGGAAUCUCACAUAAGCAACAAAUGGAGAAACAGACGAAAGAUCUCUUUGUAUCCUUCCACUGUUACUGCAGCCGCAAAGAGGUAUGUAUACUUAAUUUAAAUCCAAGUUUCAAAGCUUUUUUAUUUAAUUUAUUUAUUUUUGGUUUUAUGCAUGCAUGCAUGCAGAUCCAUUGUCUGGACGUUGUGCUUGAAGACGUAGACAAAGUCAAAGCAAUAGUCGAAUAUGUUACGGUUUCUGCGAUUGAGAAUCUAGUUCUUGGUGCUCCAUCACGGAACAGCUUUAUGCGGUAAUACAACUGAUGAUUAAUGAUUUAUUGGUUUGGGUGCCGAACAAGUAUUAACCAAACUUAGGGUUUCCUUUUUUAUGAUUUUGAUCCUUAACAGAAGAUUCAAAACGGAUUUACCAACGAGUGUGUCAAAAGCAGCCCCAGAUUUCUGCAAUGUUUACGUCAUCUCCAAAGGAAAGAUCUCUUCGGUACGAAACUCCUCGCGUCCUGCUCCUUAUCAUCCAUCAGUUCUUAACGAACCAUCAGAGACUCAUCAUGAUACUAUCGCCAUUGAGAGAAAACAUAAACCAGGUCCGAGUUUUUUUUUUAUAUAUCGUUGCUUGCGUGAAAAGCAUCUCAAACGAAUAUUCUUUAAAAUCUACCAUCUUCUCUGUUUUCAACAGCUAACACACCGGCCGUGCCUAGGGGACGAAGAUCAGUUGAUUCUGAUGUUACCAGGUAUUAUAUUCUGUUAGCAAAACAAUCGAGAAAUCUCUUACGUACGUGUAGCUACCUCAAAAAUGUCAUAAGUCUUUUGAUUUCGACUUUUGUAGAUUAGGGCUGCCAAAACCACCACAUGGACAUAUGAAAUUAGUGGGGGAUUUCUCAGAUUCAGAGUCAGAGUUCUCAUACAUCAGCGCUUCUCAACAAGAAUCCGACAUUUCCUUCAUCAGCUCGGGGAGGCCGAGUGUAGAUCGAUCUUCUUUCACCUACGACUUACCAGAAUCAGCAAGAACCUCAAGAAUGUCAACGAGCUCAGAUCAGAGCAUUGGCUCACAUAGAUUAGGAAUCAAGUUUACGGAUAUGAGUUAUCUCAAUGGCUCUUCUACUGUUUCUGAUGAUAGUGGAAGAACUUCUUGUUCUUAUUCAUCUCAGAGCUUGGUAUAGUUGAAAUCAAAUCAUAUUUCUUUUGUAUUGCUCUCAUAUUUGUUUUUCAAUUACAGUUCCAUGAAAAUUAGUGUUUGUUUUGUUGCAGGAUGAUGUUGAAGCUCAAAUGAGGAGACUGCGUUUAGAGCUAAAACAAACUAUGGAUAUGUAUAGCUCAGCUUGCAGAGAAGCUUUAACCGCAAGGCACGAGGUACUUAUUAUACAUCUUUAAGAUCCAUGUUGUUCUUUACCUCAAGAGGAUUGAUUUAUAAAUUGGUUAAAAAUCUGGUUUAGGCGACAGAGCUGCAAAAGCUAAGAACAGAAGAGGAAAGACGAUUAGAAGAAUUAAAGAUGACAGAGGAAACAGCAAUGUCAAUGGUGGAAAAAGAGAGAGCAAAAGCCAAAACUGCCUUGGAAGCGGCUGAAGCUGCAAACAGGCUUGCUGAAGCGGAAGCAAAUAGGAGGCUAAACGCAGAGAUGAAGGUAUUGAAAGAAAGCGAUUCUUUCUCUCGACAUAGUAUAGUCCGAUACAGGAAAUACUCUGUUCAAGAGAUCGAAGAAGGUACAAAUAAUUUCGCAGAGUCAAGAAAAGUUGGAGAAGGAGGGUACGGGCCUGUGUUUAGAGGUCAUCUUGAUCACACAAGUGUUGCUGUUAAGGUUUUACGCCCUGACGCUGCUCAAGGAAGAUCACAGUUUCACAAAGAGGUAACAAAAUCACUAUCUUCUCUACAAAUUUUCUCCAGUAACUCUGUUUUCCCUAUCGCUUACUUGUGUUACAAGAAAGAGGUUGUUGAAUGAAAUACUUUGAAACUUGACUCAGGUUGAAGUACUAAGCUGCAUAAGACAUCCAAACAUGGUGCUUCUCUUAGGAGCUUGUCCAGAAUACGGUAUCCUCGUCUACGAAUACAUGGCCAAAGGAAGCUUAGAUGACCGCCUUUUCAGACGCGGAAACACACCGCCAAUUUCAUGGCAGUUGCGUUUCAGGAUCGCUGCUGAGAUCGCUACGGGGCUCCUCUUCCUCCACCAGACAAAACCAGAACCAAUAGUCCACAGAGACUUGAAACCAGGAAACGUACUUCUCGACCACAAUUACGUCAGCAAGAUAAGUGACGUCGGGCUUGCAAGACUCGUCCCCGCGGUAGCUGAAAACGUGACUCAGUAUCGAGUAACAUCAGCUGCAGGGACGUUCUGUUACAUCGACCCGGAGUAUCAACAAACGGGGAUGCUGGGUGUGAAAUCAGAUGUUUAUUCUCUCGGAAUCAUGCUUUUGCAGCUUUUGACGGCGAAACAGCCGAUGGGUUUGGCUUAUUACGUGGAACAAGCGAUCGAAGAAGGGACAUUGAAAGAUAUGCUCGAUCCUGCAGUACCAGAUUGGCCAGUAGAGGAAGCUUUGGCUCUUGCAAAGUUAUCGCUACAAUGUGCCGAGUUAAGAAGAAAAGAUAGGCCUGAUCUUGGUAAAGAAGUGAUGCCUGAGCUUAAUAGACUUCGAGAGCUUGGUGAAGAGAGUCUUGAGUCUGUGUAUUAUGCUGGACAAGGACGAUCUUCACAUGCUAGUCAAAUCUCUUAUACAUCGGUAAGAAGAUUUUAUUCGAAAACACUUCCAUCAGCUUAGAUGUCUCUCUGUGAUGUUUAUGUUUUUGUGGGAUAUAUAUUGCAGGAAGGUAGGAGUGCUCCUUUAAUAUCAAAUACUGGAUCUUCUAUAUCAAACCCAUAGUUUUAAGGAAUUUGGUAAGAUAUAAUUGUCUUUCAUCUUACGUUCACGUAUUUUUAAGAUAAACACUCAUGAUUAAGAUUUUGAUUUGCAGGAGAUAACUAACUUCAAUAGAAGCAAGCCAAGAGCAAUUUAUUCAGAAAAGUAGUUGCUUAUUUGAGCUGAAGCAAACAAGUGGCUAUGGUUUUACUAGAGUCGGAUUUGUGUAUAAUUUUUGUAUUUUUUUUUAUCAAAGGAACAAUAUGUUGUAUAUACGUGGAAAUACAAAUUUACCAUGGUGAUUCAUGCUGUAAAAUUAUAUUUUUUUAAAACUAUGAAUUACAUGUUAGUCGACACGUAAAUAACAACGUGGCAAUGUUCUGACGUUGUCAAGUGUUUACACAAGAAAAAAGAAAAGUCUUUCUUUAAUGGGGUUUUAAACGAGGUAUUUUUCUAAGGUACGAGAGAAAUCAGAAACAAUGGGACAAGGUAAAGAGGUCAAGACGAGACCAGAUCCUCAAGUUGAGAUUCAGGUUUUAUUUACAUUCCUCUGUUCGUUGCUGAUGUAUCCAAGUUUAAAAACACACUCUGGUCUCUGUUUUUGAUGAGGUCAGUUUAUAUUAAUCAGGAAAGAGGAGAAAUAUUCUUCUUUUAUAGGCCAAAGGUUAACAAAGAAGAAGCUCACAGUCUGGAUGAUGUUCAAAGGUUGUACAUAGUGAUGCGUCCUGAGUCCGGUGAGAAUCCUACGGAGGAGAAACAAGACCCUCUUUCAGGUAAAGAAGGUUCCGAUAAAGAUUCCGGUGACGGAGAUGCUAGUACUAGCUCCUCCGGCGCCAAGAACCAAGGUGAAGGAGGACACGGCGUGGAGGUAGCACAAGAAUUAAGAACAAAGCAGUACUAGGGAUUAAGCUCUUAUUACAUGAUCAUAAAUUAUUAAGUCUUUUGUUCAAAAAAAAAAUUAUUAAGUCUAAUCUCAAUCUUUGUAGAAAGUGAACAUCGAGAAACAACUUCUGCUACGAUUCAUUGUGAUGGGUAAGAAGAGUCUACCUGAUCCGAGCAAGAAGUCGCAACCUUUUUGGGGAUUCGUGGAGAUGGUGACCACAAAUGUUGAAGAUGUUAAAACNNNNNNNNNNNNNNNNNNNNNNNNNNNNNNNNNNNNNNNNNNNNNNNNNNNNNNNNNNNNNNNNNNNNNNNNNNNNNNNNNNNNNNNNNNNNNNNNNNNNNNNNNNNNNNNNNNNNNNNNNNNNNNNNNNNNNNNNNNNNNNNNNNNNNNNNNNNNNNNNNNNNNNNNNNNNNNNNNNNNNNNNNNNNNNNNNNNNNNNNNNNNNNNNNNNNNNNNNNNNNNNNNNNNNNNNNNNNNNNNNNNNNNNNNNNNNNNNNNNNNNNNNNNNNNNNNNNNNNNNNNNNNNNNNNNNNNNNNNNNNNNNNNNNNNNNNNNNNNNNNNNNNNNNNNNNNNNNNNNNNNNNNNNNNNNNNNNNNNNNNNNNNNNNNNNNNNNNNNNNNNNNNNNNNNNNNNNNNNNNNNNNNNNNNNNNNNNNNNNNNNNNNNNNNNNNNNNNNNNNNNNNNNNNNNNNNNNNNNNNNNNNNNNNNNNNNNNNNNNNNNNNNNNNNNNNNNNNNNNNNNNNNNNNNNNNNNNNNNNNNNNNNNNCUAGAGCUGUCGGAGAAGGAAUAUAUCGAAUCCUCCGACAUAAGCCUAGUCCGACACGAAAACACCAUACACAUCUUGUCUACAAGCUCGAAUUGCCAUCUAAGUCGCAUACCAGAGCACAAGAGCCACAAGAGUCGAUGAACAUUGAACCCGAAGGAUCCUUCUUGAUCCAAAUACGAAAUCCAGAGCAAGGAGGAGGAGGACGGUCAGGCUUUGGUGGGCUGCAGAGAAAGAGGAGGGCUCAUUUUCCGGCACAUCUUCAAGCCCAUUUAGGCCAUACCCGGUUUGGGGCAGCGGACCCGCCCGAUUUCCUGAACUACGAAGGAUGCGAGUUGUUGUUGAUCUCGGUGUCCGACGAUAUAGAGGAAGAGUUAGGGAUGGAGUUGGACCCUGAGGGUGACGGUGAUGACUCGACUUGCGAUCUUUUGAAGACUUUCGGGGACGAUGUUGAAGCCACUCCGCUGCUUCGCGGUGCAUGGGAGUAAUAAUGGUGGGAUGCCCACUAGUCAGUUAUAUUAUACUUAGAUGAUAAAGCUACUAACUAGUGUUUUGAAGACAAGUGUGGACGGCUUUAGGUGGUUUUAUUUUGUCUUUCUUAGGGGUCAAAGUUUGGUGUAUUUAACCUGUUAUGAACAUGACUCAAAUAGUUUGGUUUAAAAUAUAAAAUGACACAGGGAAGUGCUUAGUAUCAGUUCAAUGAUCCAUUUUAGAGUACACUAAACCUUAAACAUGUUGCAUGAAUUCAUAACCUACCUCAGCUCUUUCAUUCACUAUAUAUGUGCAAAGAUGAUUAGAUAUAUCUUUUAUCAAAAAAAGAUUGGAGCCAUGACAAGCGUGAUAGUCGCCAACAUCUUGAUGAGAACGUGAAUCGACGGUCCGGCUGUGUCCUUAAAAGGGUCUCCCACACUUGCCAUUAAAAGACAUGAUUUAUCAGUAGAAAACAGUUGGACUUUCACAUUAAAAGUACAAAGGAAAUGACCAAUGAGGUGGAGACUAAGAAGAGGAGAAAGCACAAGGAAUUUGAAAGAUUGCUUACGUAUCACCAGUUACUGCAGCUUUGUGGGAAUCACUUCCUUUGCCUCCAAGUGCUCCAGUCUCAAUGUAUUUCUUUGCAUUGUCCCAAGCACCUCCUGCUGUAUUUAGGAAGAGUGCCAUUAAGAUACCACAUACUGUUGCAAACAUUAGCAUUGCAGCUACUACUUUUGCUCCAAGCAGAGGUUGUCCCGUGUAGUAUCCUAAGAUCCGGAACACGAAACCUGAGGAGACCAAAUACAGAGGGUUUUAUUAUUAUGUUUCUUUCUUUCUCAUCUGGCAGCUUAACCAACGUGUUACUGACUUACCAACUGCAAUCGGUGAUACUAUAGCCAACGCUCCUGGUUUUAUCAUCUCCUUCAAAGCUGAAGAUGCAACAAUGGCAACACAUCGAGCAUAAUCAGGUUUCUCCUUGUAGUCCUGUUACAUUAAGUUCAAAAGGAUACCCAAAUGGAAAAAAAGUAAUAAAAGGGGAGGAUGUAUAUAUUUUACCAUAAUGCCAGGCCUCUCAAUAAACUGUCUUCUUACUUCGCUGACAACCUCCUGUGCAGUUCGACCAACUGCUGCACAAGCCCAAUAGCAAACCCUUUUGUUGUUGCUUUUGUGGUGUUCCCAACAGCAUCAAGAACAUCAGUGAUCUCACGGACACUUUCUGGCUGCAAUAGACAAGAGACUAUUAUUUUUCUAUAUACUUAUUUCACAGCAUUCGUGGGCCAAAGCCCAACAGAUGGUCCACGGAGGAAAUUCUUACCCAAAGUUGUGUUUUCCUUUUUAUAAUAAAAAAUUAUCCUGGCUACUAGGUAGCUGCAAAACACUCGAAUUCUGCAGUAGUUUCUCCGGAGAAGAAGAAGAUGAAGCAACCGGCGACACCGAACACGGCGGAGGAAAGUAAAGCAGAGCAAAAGCAGAAAUCCAAAAAAUUCCCAACUCCGACGGAGCUAAUCUCUCACUACCAGAAACGAGGGCUAGAACCAGCAGAAGCUUCGGUUAAGGUCAUCGAAGACCUACAAAACGCGCUCGUCCGAGUCGUUUCGUCUUCCAGAAACCAAUCGAGUAAGGAUAAGCUUGUAACCGACGCCAGAAAAAUCGACGCCAUUACCGGGAGGCUCGCCGUCGUCGACGCAAAGCUAGAGACGAAACCUGGAUACGUUGAGACUUUCGUCUUGGGGUUAGCUUCUGGUGCUGCACUUAACGGAGUUAACGCCGUCUGGCCUCACGUCACCAGAGGCAUUGCCCAAAUUUGGUCCGCCGUUAAGAGCGGGACUGAUCCGUCAGCUGCCCCUUGAAAUGUUCGAAAGAGAUGUUGUCCAUUCUCCAAUGAUUUUGGUUUCUUUGUUCUUCUUCCGGUGUUUGUUGUAGUAGCGAAAUUUGAGUUCUCAGCCACUUCUAAUUUUUGUAUUUGUUGGAACAAAAUCAUCUCGUUAUUACAUUAUCCCAUUUAAUUUUGCCUCCAAAUAAAGAAAAGCUAAUGUAAAAUUGAUAAAAAAGGCAUGUUUUACUUUAGAAUAAAAGAAAAUAUACACAGGAAAAAUGAAAAUAAUUCUUAGCAGGCAACUUCACAGACAAAAUUUGCGACUGGAGUUGCAAAUACUACAGGUUAGCCAAAAUUUUCUCUCACUGCUAGUCUCAGAGAGAACCUAUGAUGAUGCCAAAGGAAUGCAUAAAACUUACCCAUCAAACUGGAAUUUAGCAACUGGCACGAUUGUGGGAAAUCAACUGUGACAUCAGUUUCCGUGUUAUCUUUGUUUACUGUUGUUCUUGCUGGACUCUGCAAAUAAGAAUCGCAUCAAGUGAGCAAAAUUUAGCAUUACGACAGUAAUUUACAUUUGCACAUCAGCUUCCGAGGCAAAACAUAAAGACGUUUGAUAUAUAAUGAAAUCUUACCUUUGAUUGCUUUAGGCGGUCUUGUAUGACUGCCAGCGGUUGAACCUGGGGACAAUGGUCGCUUUGGAGGUUUGGGCUUAUGUGAAGGAAUCAGAGACGAAUUUAGAAUGGCAGCAACUGCUUCACGCUGUUGCUUCCGUUUGGAUAUCAUAUCUUCAACACCACCUUGAUUAGAAGCAUUGCCUUUGUUUAUCUGUCUAUCUUUCUGUCCAACUUCAUCUGUGGGAUCUGCCCUCUUGCUACUGUCAGCCUUUGAUGAAGCCUUCUUAUAUUUCUUCCACUCGUUUGAAUUUUCCUUCUUAUAACUAUUUGCAUCUCUAUUCUCUGGGUUACUGUUUUUCUCUCUACCUUUCAUUUUUUCUUUCUUUUCAUGGCUCCCUCUCAGAGUCUCUUCGGAUGUUACUUUCUCACUGCUUGCAACUAGUUUUGUCCUUUGAGACGAAGCUUCUUCUUUGGCUUUUCGUUUGCUGUGCUUGCUCUCUGAUCCUUUUGAUAAGAGAGGCACAACAUCUCCAUCGGAUUUCCUCAUUUUUCUAUCAUUAGAUGUCUCUGCUAUCUGUUCCUUGCGACGUGAAUGCUGCUUCUCAGGCUUAGAAAAUUUAUCUAGAAGAUUCUCAGAAUGGUUUUGUUCCAUCACUUUUUCGCCAAACAUGUAGUUGUACGGUCUCUUAACUGGUAUAAUGACUUCUCUUUCUUUUGCGUCUUUCACAAGAGCAGCCCAGUUAUGGUCUCUUUGCAAGGUUCGUGUGUUACCCAAAACCCAAAGGGAGAGUUUGGCUCUAGUGAGAGCAACAUUCAUGCGUCUAACAUCUGCAACAAAACCAAUCCGACUUUGAUUGAUCCCAUCAGGAGCAGAAUGUGUAGCUCUUACCGUGGAUAGCACUAAUAUGUCAACUUCUCUGCCUUGAAAACCAUCGACAGUAUUUAGUUCCAUAUCUGCUGUUACUUGAGCCCCAAAUGCACCAGUGAAACGCGAACGUAAAACUGCAAGCUGACGUUUGUAAGGAGUUAUAAUGCCAAUCCUUCCAGCAACAAAUUCAGAGGGGUAUCUGUAAGUAACAAGCUAGCCAGUGAGUAAAAUGAUAUCAUAGAAUUUUCUUAAACAUUGUGUAAAUAGAUGGCUUAAGAUGAAUAAUGACCUCUUCUUGAAAAAUCUAAGUAGCUGAACAGCUGCUUCAGCUUCUUGUUCAUUGCAAACGGAGCUAGAAUCUCCACUUCGAUGCUCUUGGCCAUCAACGAUAUCAUAGAAAACGUACGGUCCAAGAUGAGGACUUUCGUGAAAUGGGGCUGACUUGUUUGACAUGUCGACACCGUUUAGUAACUUACUGUCAUAGAAGUGCAUGGACGGGAAUCUACAAAUUUCUGGAUGCAUCCUAUACUGUUAGGAGAGAAAGCAUAUUAGCCCAACUUCCAGACACAGACAUAAUUUUCUAGUUUCAAACAAACUUUCAACCAUUUAGCUAACACAACAAAGAUAAAAUUGCAGGGGAAACUUCCAAUUUAAAAGAAGGAGAAAGUAUCAAGUAAUCAGCGUACCUGCUGGGUAAGCAUAAGGAUAGGAUACCCAGCCCUCUGUAGACGUUCAAACAUGCUACAUUCAUACAAAAAUUUACUUGCAACGUUAGAGAGAACUGUUGCUGGAAGCUGCUUUGGGUCUCCAACCUGUAAUAAGAGACAAGGUUAUUCAGGUACAACUGCAAAUAUAGUAGAAACUUCUGUAACACAAGUGAACAACUCUCACCAUUAUACAUUUCGUUCCUUUUGACUUUAACAACUGCAGAGGAAUCAGUGUAGCGGGUUCCAAAGCCUGUGCAGCCACAAAAACAAAAAAAGUGAUGAACUGUGACGAGAACACCUUAUGUCAAACAAGAAAGCAUGCUACAAAUAUUUACCUGAGCUGCUUCGUCAAUCACUACCGCAUCAAAUAAAUUAUCUUCAGAUGGACUACCGAAUUUAUGGGCAGAUAAAGAUUCAGCACAAACAUUGUACAAAUCUCCUCCACAACCACUUAAAGUUGUAACAACUAUUUGAGCUUCUUUAAGAAUGGACUUCCGCAACUUAUGUUUCAAUGCUCUAAUUUCAUUGUUAGCUUUUCUCUCUUGAGCCUGAACAGCACUAAGAUCUUUGUAAAUCUUUCUCUUUUGCUCAUAUAACCUCCGCAAUCUUAUUCCUAGCUCCGCAUCGGACAUUGGCUUGCCAUCAUCAUCUUUGUUCAGGUGUUCAUUCGCUGGCUUCUCUUUGGCGUCUAAACUUUCUUGAUUUAUGUUUGCACGCUUAGCUUCAAAAUGUGUGAUCUGAUCGACAAUCUUUUCUAGAUUAGAGCGCAGUAUUGCAGAAGAAUCUGCACCCUUACUACUCUUAGAUUCGUUUAUCCGCAUUCUCUCCUCUGCCAAACGCUGAUCAACAAGGGUGUCAAGAAAGAAGGGCAUUGAAUUUGGAUGAACAGUUUUUGCAUUUCCAACCCUCACAAGAUAAGGUUUGAACAUCUUCCCAUCCCCGCCAUAUAUGCCUAGACUGGAUAUCCUUGAAACUAAUUCAUCAACUGCAGCAUUUGACUGAGCACAGAUCAGCACCCUUCCUCUACCAAUCUUUUCUCCUAUCUUUUUCUUUGUUUCCCCGUCAUCAUUUAGCUGUUUAGCCAUAGCUGCAUCUUGCCAUGCCCUUGCAAGAGCAACAUUCGGAUUCAUUCUCUGCCUAGAAGUUGAUGAACUAUGAUCUUGUUCAGAAUUCCCCCUACCACUUGCUUUAUGUGAAACGGAUGCAAGCAAGCCACUAAUAAUGGCAACAAUAGUGCGAGUCUUGCCAGUCCCUACAGGAGCAAACGAAAUUUCUUUACAUUCAUCAAAGUCCAACAUCAACAAUCAAUUAGUGCAAAAUGCUAAAUUUUCUCCCAGAGCAUCUUAUGACAUUAUUAGCUUUAGUGACAGAGAAAUAAAAUGACUAACCUGGAGGACCCUGAAUAAGUGAAAUGUCAAACGCUUUCAUCAAAUUGGAUGAGCCAAUAGCAACACUAAUAGCCUGAAGUUGACUCUCAUUGAAAGAUGAUUUAAGUAUUUGCUGUAGAGAAUGUGGUAGUGAACGCAGAUCUGACUUUUUAACUUCAGAAUCAUAAUUAGCAUCACUCAUAGGAUUUAAGAUCAGAGGAAGUACAGGAAUAUCCUUUAUGGACGACAGAGCUUGAAAUUCUCGAACUUGGGAUGUAAUGUUGAGAAUGCGACUUGCAUGCCACAGGCUACGUUCCAAGAGAUUCCUUCUAGCUUGAUUCAGACGUGACGACGCAUUCUGAAGAUACAAGCGUAUAUUCAAAAUGCUGGACCGUUUUUUGUCAUCCCAUUCCCGUCCUUCCACCUAAGAAACAGCAAGGUAAGUAAUCUCUAUCCUGAUCUUUCAAAGUAUAUAUCCAACAACUAUGUAGAGUAUCAGAACAUCAGGAAUAACUCUUUAUCUUAUAUUAAAAUAAGUAAAUCAAAUUCCGUUGAAGCUCCAAACCAGCACCCUGAAUAUAUCUGGUCAAGUAACUAUAGUAUAUUUGUGGUUUUCAAGCAUAUACAUUCCUGAUUCUACUUUACCAAGAGGGUGCAAGUUAAACAAAAUACCACAUACCUUUCCCAUCAUAUUAACACCCAUAUUGCUGUUUUCUGGAUGCUCUUUUGUGAACAAAACCAAGUCAUUCUCAGAAAAACUUUUCGAGUUGGAUCCAUCAUUUUCAUCUUGCAUAAAACGAACAAAGUGAAAAUCGUCAACCCUUUCAAUCGAUAAAACAGACAAAACACCAUAAUAUAUCUCCCCCAGUGAUGAUAUCUCCUGGAAGCAACUUUGCAACUGUGCUUUAAACUCCUCCAGAACCAAAGGCUGAAAAAUCUGAAUAUAUUGCUCAGGUGAACCAAAGCGAACAGGAACUUCCCUAAACUUUCCAACAAUCUGAUUCUCAUCUUUAUUUGUUGACGCCAAUCCCACAAUCGCAUAGUAGUCCAUUUGCAAAAUCUUUCUAAACCAAUCUUCAAGCUUUGGUGGUCUAAAUCGUUUGAAUCCGGCUUCUUGCCUUUGCCAACGAUCGGAUGUCUUAUUGACAGGUGCACAAAGUUGAAUGACUUGUCUUUUGGGAACAAUAGGCCCUGGUUUUGCCAGGGGUAAUAACUGUGGUUUCCGAGGUUUAAGAGCCAAGUCCAAAGGAUCAGCCUCUGUCUCAUUCACUACUUUUCUCAAAUCCAUGUCUUUCGCCUUGGAAAUCGCAGAUUUCUGAGGCUCUUUUAAAGUUGCACGAGGGAUGAGUUCAUCAGUAGCCUUCUUUAAGUUGGGUCUGUUUUCAAAUGAAACAGGAUUUUCCAUAUUCUGUCUUUUUUCCGCUUCCCUACUCAUACCUGCAGCCUUGCUUGGUUCAGCAUUUCUCGUGGGAAGAUCCUUGACAAUAUUACUUGAGCUAACUGUAACAUCUCUCUCUGAAUGAACUGACGUUGAAAGCUUUGAAGCAUCCCUACCAGAAGUACUCUUCUUCAGAGAAGAGACCUGUGAGAUACUUUUAAUAGGUGGAAGAGUUUUCUUGAUAUCAGGUUGAUGAGACUUAUGCAGACUAGGUAACUUCUUCAAUGAUUCCUUCUCUGCCUCAUCCACUGUUAGAUCCAUCAUAUUAUCUAGUACUUUGCCAACAACAUCAACAGGUUUGAGAAUCUUGUACUCAGUCGCCUUGGGAACCAGGCGCGAAAUUUGUUCUGCUAAUUGCUCGAUGUCAACAUCAUCUGAAUUAAGAAGAGGCAGAGAGCAUUAUGAACUGUAUCACCUGGGGUAAAAAAGUUCUAAAAUGCCAGUUAUAAACAAUUGACAAGCAAGAAUCCACUAACCAGAGAGUAUAACAUGUCUGAUAGCUUGGACUGCUGAGGAGCAAGCGUCACUGUUUGAUCCUUGUAAGAUGUCUAGCAAAGCCACUAAUGCCCGUUUCCAAUAUGCAACAACAACCUUAAGUUGUGACCUUCCCCAAUCAAUGAGAUCAGGAAGCCAUUUAAGAUCAGAUGCAUCUUUCAAAGUUCCUCUAGCAUCACAGGAGUCUUCAUCGCUUACUCUAAGUUUUCCCAGAACAACAGGAAGAAUCUCAAGCAAACGCACACAUGUCAUCUGCCAAAUUAGAAAAUCGGAACCUUAGAAAAAGAAAAAACUAGACACGUUCCAAAAAGAAACACAUACAGCCAAAGAGGACAGCAGAAUAAAUAACAAGCAGUAGUAUAACCAGAGAUCAAUCUAUGAGAACUUUCAAAUAAUACCUGGCAAAGACUUUGAUGGAUGAAAGCCUUUCCCUCAACUAGACACUUCCUUAUCACGCCCCAUGCAACUUCUGCCAGCAAGUAAUGAAACUUUAAUAAUUCAGGCGUAGCACUCAAGGAAUUUCUGCCCUCACUCACAGGCAAAGCAUUAAAAUUAGGUUGCCUCAAAAAUCCCCCUGCCGAGCUCUUCACUUCGUCAGUACUGGCCACCUCCUCUUCCUUGAGCAACUUAAACAACAAAAAGAAAAAAUGGUGCAAGAUCUGAAAGCUUUGUAGGACAGAGCUCAAAUGGACCUGCCAAAAUCAGGAAAAAAACAGAAGAUAUAAGCAAAUAAAAACAGUUGCAAGUCACAGACUAAUGAAAAAUGUAGACACUCAUGAUUAAAAAAACUGAAGUAUGUGAAAUGCUCAGGCUAGACUUUCAAUUUCUAUAGUGGAAAAGGGUGGAAGAUCUGUAGCCUUAGCAAAGACUAACAUUAAGAACAACAAUACCCACGGAGCAGAAGAAUGCAGAGUACUACUGAACUUGCAUUCCAUGACAAACUUCAAAAUAGAUAGUUAAAUGACUCAUUGCAUGCAUAUCCUCCUAUAUGUUGAAUGAAAAAAUUAGCUGCUGCUUACCUGCUGUAAAACAUGUCUAACUCCAGAAGAAACAAAUAGGAGAUGUGAACUUUGAGAGCAGAGAAACUUCAGCCCACAAGACAGACCUCUGGUAUUUGAAACGUGUUCCAGCAUAGACUUUCCAAAUUGCCUUACAUUCUGUUAACAAAAAUAACACUAGCAAUUGUUCAACUUUACACACAAUAGAACAAGAACAUAGAGUAAUAAAUAUCUAGUCAUCAUCUUUUAUAAUGGUACCCAGGAAAUCAUUAUAGGUAAUUACAUACGUCAUCUGGGUCUGAAAGAGAAAGGAUGAAGGUUUCGGCCAUCCCAGGUACCCAGGUCCACUUUUUUCGACAUUCUUCACCCAUUUGGACCAGAUAACAAGUGGUCAAUCUACAAAAUCAAAACCCAUAAACUUACUACUACAAAGGGUAAUAGAAAAAUUAGUAGUGUUCCUACCACAACAGUGAAAAUGAAAAGUACCUCUUCAAUGUUCGUGUCAAAGUAAGACACAUUUUAGAUACUGUCACAGAGUUUUUGGACUCCUUUCCUGGUCCUCCGUCAUCAGAUCCUGUUGCUACCUUCCACCCAAGCGUGCCUUGGAUUUCAACAGCAGAAGAUGAAAGCCAAGUUUCUAUAUCAAGUGUCAUUUCAUCAUUCUUAUCAGAUUCCACCAAACAAAAUCGUGAUCGAGACCAAAAUACUGCUUGGGAUAGCGAUACUGGAAGGUUUAGAAGAUUUGUAUUUGUAAGAGUAGAAAUCCACAGCAUCGGGAUGCACAUCCACUCUUUACAUUCCCCAAGAGUAAUUUUGCUCUGCUGGGUAAAGGCUCUCCAGUGAAGAUCACUUGCAUCAUCAGCAGUAUGGGAAAAGGGGAGAUUACUUUCAUUGUCGUCAUAUUGCAACUCAUUGUCCAUAUAUUUACCAGUAUUAUUACGUAGCAGCGAAGCUAGUAAGGCUGUUGCAUCAGAUACCAAGAUAGCUUGGACAAGAUCAAUAGCAGGUUGUCGCAAUGAAAUAUGGAGUGAAGAAUCUUUAUACGACGACACAAGAGAUGGGCCCCUGUCACAUCAGUUGACUUCCAUGAAUUGUCUUUGUGAAAACUAUUGUGUCCUUGUCUAACAUUUACAAUUUUCCAAAACUACAAAUGAACAGGACGAUACACCGAACACAGCACUCAAAACAUGACAGAUAUCUAUCUUGGCAUACUGCAAGCAGACCCCAGUGAACUUUAUGUAUUCUACACAUAGGACUGUCAAAAUAUUUAACAUCCAUAUAAAGCUAACAUGAAAGUUGCCGGGAGAAAGAAACGAUCACAACUACAAAAAAAAAUUAUAUAUGAAACUAGAACCGUCCUACUUAAUACUCAUGUCAUGUAAUAAGUAUUUGAUGAAAAUUCAAAACCAAGGUUGAGAAAGAAGCCAACUUUUCAAGUAAGUAACAGACAACAAACAGCUGCAAAACAAAAAAUAGGCCGAAAGUAUACUAACCACAUGUGUGCACACUCAAAGGGAGGGCAAGGAGGGUUCAUUGUGUAACCUCUGAGUACAAUAAGAAGAGCAAUCUGAAGAUAAAUUUCAAAAGUUUGAUGAAGAUAAGAGUAUAAAAAAAUGCCACAGAUAUGUGUUAAUUGAAAAGAAGUAGAACUACCUUGUGGCCAAUUCUUCUUGCUAAAACGCUGAAGUUACUGCUAACUGGGACCUGAUGAAGGAGAAAGUAGAGAAAGUGUCUACGUUGCUUUUCGUGCUCACCAUCUCGCAAUGCUUCAAGGGACUGGAAAAAUAGGAUAUGCAAAAUAUGGCAAGGUAAGUAAACGAAAGCAUGUCAAUCUCCUAAGAGAAUCAUAUACGUAAGAGAAGUAAUGCAAGCUUGCCUGUAAUAAAGGCUGGAAAAGAUCAAAAAUGGCCUUGUGGAUCUUCUCAGCUUUUGUAUGGAAACACUGACCCAACAAUGUGUUACGCAUCACACUUGGGGAUAAGGUAGACCUAAGCCAGAGCUUACAACCUUUUAUCACAUGGGAAUGUGUCAAUAACCUAAUAUAGAGCUUCAAGAUAUACUGGCUACUUUAAAAAACGACAACAGUUACCAUACCAAGUGUCUUAAAUAGCUCUUUUAGGCAAUUAACAGCCAGCGAAAAUUCAGGUGAAUCGCCACUUAUAUGAUUUAACACUGUAUCAACAAAAAUAGGGUACGGCUCUAAUAUCCCCUCUUCAAAAGCAGGGCCUUCUAAGAACUCAAGCCUUUAAUAAGCAACAAAAAUUCAGGAAUCAGCGAAUCAAGCAUAUUUCGAAAACAGUAAACGAACAAUAAAACUAUAAGGGGAGAUUUAGUCACUAACUCUUACAGUGAUGUCAUCCCAAGCCAUAUGGAUGAGCGGUCUAGAUAAAUCCUCGGCCUUGGUUCUUGAGACGCAGAAGGCAGUCCCUCCAUCUCCAGAAUUCCAAUGAACUUCUUGAGCAAUGGCUGGAGGCGCUCCAACUGGGUUGCUGAUCUGCCAUGAUAGCAGGAUAAGAUCAAAACAUGAUAUCUAUCAAAAUUUCAGAAGCACUAAAGACAGUCCUGCGAACAGAGUUAGCUAUGAAUUGACUUAGUAGCUGUAAUAAAAAGGGAAAUAUACCUCAACUUUCCCAUGGCCCUUGCCAAGCGAUAACCAAUUAUACGCACCCUUCUAUUGAGAAAAAGGAGAGCAUACACACCCUAAAAAGAAUGAAAUAUGAGAAAACACAAAUUCACAUAGAUUUUGUUUAGAAGGAAACACAAUAAGCUCUCCACAGGAUAUUAACAUACCGGAAAUUCUUGAUUCUCAGCAAACGCAAGCUCGUGAAUGUUGUCGAUUGACUCAAUAAAUUUCUCAAACUCAGAGCAUAAGGACAUAUCAUCAAAGAAGAAGGGAAACAUCAAAACCUGACACCAAAACGAAGGCUCACAAGUUAGAAGAUGCGAAUCACAUGAUGCACAGAAUUGACAUGACAUGAGGAUUGAGGAUUCAAAGUGAAUAGAAAAAUACAAAUCAUCAGAGUCAGUUAUCAUCCAGUAGUUUAAAAAGAACGAAAAAGAAACUAUUACAAAAAUCUCAGACCGGAUAAUAUACCACAGUACCUCGUACAUAACACUAACAACUUCUGCAUGAUGAUGAUCAGGAUCAUAUGUUCCUUUUUCGAUUUUCGAGUUAAUCUCUUGCAAGUGCCUAGUGACCCUUUCCUCAUCAAGUUUUCGUAACACAGCAAGUAGUGGACCAACAGAAGAGCACUCAUACUCUUUUUCAUACAUCUCUUGAGUCUGAUGGUGCUGACAAAUGCAUUGAGCACAAAGCCGCAUCUCUUCAGAUAUUCUCUUCCACAAGACCUUGAGAGGUGAAUCAACUCUAUCAUCUUUGAAGUAGUUGUAGAAUGUCUCUAUAAGAGGUCCCAUUACAUCACCAUGCCCACACCAAAUAUGAGUAUCCUUGGGCAAAGAUAUCAAUAAAGUGAAUGCAUCUGUAAACCUGGAGCAAGAUAGAAAACAAAACAGUCAGCUAGAACUGAAAUCAGAGCAAUGUAAUAGCUGAAUUUUGUCUAAUUUUCGGAUUUGAAAUCGAUUUAACAAUGAACUAUCAGAGGUAUAGCAAAACCAUUGUUCCUUGCGCUGGUUAAGACGUCGUACUGCAGAGGGAUCAGAAUCGUCAUUCUCCUCUUCGUCUUCCUCGAUUCUCCUCCACCGGCUCAGUAGCUCUCCACUUGAGACUUUAGUCGACAUUUUAGCUCUCAAUUUUUUUACAACGGCGGCAAAAAAUCAAUCCAACAGCCGCUGUAGUCAAAAGUUCCGGCGACUGGAAUUAGGGUUUUUGAUUUACACAGGGGAGAACCAAUUUGAAAUCCCUUAAUCCGAAUUUCUUGGUCCUCGUCGACAAUAUUUGAUUUCCAGAGAAGAACCAAUUUUGAAAGCCCUUACUGUUUGUUGCCUUAGUGGGAGAGAGAAAAAAGCGAGCGUAGAAAAAAUAAACAGGUACACGACAUCGUUUUUAAACGUGGGAAAGAGAACAAGUGGGCCUAUUGGGCUUUAAUUGAAUGAAAAAUUAAAAAAGAAAAAAGAGGUAAAUCCCUUUUUGACUUAUUUUACUCGUCUUUCUUUAAAAGAAAAAACUCGUCCUUCUCUCUCUCUUGCGUUCUGCAACAUCCUCUUUCGAUUUCAGGUGAUUGUUGGGUUAGGGUUUUGAGUUUUAGCUCAAUUCAUGCUUCUGCUUCUAUUGUUGUGCUUCUAGCUUCUGGUAUUGUUCUCUAUAUGGAAAUUUUGUUGAGUAUGCUUCUGUGUUAUGGAUCCUCUGUUGGUUUUUUGGGUAUAUACACUAUAGAUCUACUAUGGUUCCUUUGCUAAUCAUCUGGGUCGUGUAAUGUGUUCCAUACGUGUUGAUAAACUUCAGUCGUUUUCAAGCACUAGGUCUAGGAUCUCUGAGAGGUUUACGGGGAUAGAAAAAAACAGGCUUAGGGAUGAUUUGACUCUCCGUAGGUAGGUUCUGCUUAUCGAUGUCUUAAGAAGUCACUAAUUCUCAAGCUUUCAUAUUUGAAAUUUCAUUCUUGAUUGUAAAAAUCUAAAUUUUUGUUUCGUGGUAUUUGUGUUCUGACUGUACAAUUUGCCACAAAGUCUUUUUCUGUUAACGAACCUCAUCAAUGAAAUAUAAAGCUUCAGCCUUAAUGUCUGGAAAUCUCUUUCUUUGCUUCCAAUUGUGGUCUGAAUUUAUGUUUUGUGGUUCUGUGUUCUUACUAGCAGCCAAGAGAUGUCGGCAUACGACAAUGUUAUUGGUGGGAAGUUGAAGCUAAAAGGGAAGGCUUUGGAUGUGAAAGCAGGUGGAGUAAAGAAGAAGAAGAAACAUAAGAAACAGGAAGAACAAGCUCUUAAAAUUACUGAACAUGAACUCAUAGAAGGUAAGACACAACCGCUUUCUUCUCAUUAACAUGACUUAACUGUUCCUUAACAUUUAUAGGCAAUGGAAAAUUCAUAUGAUGUUGAUUUCCUAUAUUGGAUUUGAGUAUAGGAGAAAGCACAGAAGCAUUGGGUAAGUUGAUCGAAGGAGAAGAAGAAGGUGAAGAAAUGGGCAGGAGUGAAAAGUCGAGUGAAGAUGUGAAUUUUCAGCACGAUGAUGAUCACUUAACGCCUGCAGAAAGAAGGUACAUAGAGCAGAAACAGAGAUUGGAUGUGCAGAAGCUAGCUAAGGAGGCCAACAAGUCUCACCGUAAUAGGAUUGAGGAUUUCAAUCAGUAUCUGGCUAACAUGAGUGAGCACUACGAUAUCCCGAAAGUCGGACCUGGUUAAUACAAAAUUUUCAUUGGCUUUGUUGUACUCUGCUUAUCAAUUUGGCAUCGUUAAACAACUACUGUUGGAUGUCUCUUAUGUUUAUUCGUACAACAUUUCAAGUAUGUAAUCUCCAGUUCUCUACUCUCUAAUGCCAAAAGACACGUUUUCUUGCAAAAUUUCUUCUGCAUUCCUCAAUAUUCAACCUUUUUGAACCAUAUGGUAGGAAAAUGAUAUAUUUGUGGGAGAUGAAUCAACUAUAUAAUCUGGGGACGAAAGUAUAAACAAUAUUGAAGUGCAAAGAAUUUAACUUCAGAGGCCCAAUGGUAUGAUGAUCCCUCGAAGGUAUCUCUUAUUGAGUUUGAGUACAAAAUCCUGUAUUCUUUUUGUCUGUACCAACAAACAAAUGAAAUCAUGAAGAGAGAAAGGGAGACCACUAUGUUACAGAGUCUAUACAACAGCUACGGAGCUACACAACCUGGAUCCAUGGACUCGUUUAAUAUCAAGUCAAGGAAGACUUCGACAAAGAACCGCUGAGCUAUAAAACACAAUACCAAAUUUAUUUGGCUGGAAUUCCCAGGCAACUAUGCAAGGACAAUAUUAGUCUGGAACAGAUAGCUUUGCAAUAGUCUUAAAAGGCCUCUGUAAUAUUAACAGAUUGAUGUCCAGCAGAAGCUAGAAUCUCUAAGUAGUAAUGUUAUCUCCAAUCUAACUUUUUAUGUUUCCAACUGAAUCUGAAAUAUUGCUGAUCCACGCUCUACUGAUAGUGGCUGUAAACUCAAGCAGAAAUACAAACUAGCUGCAACGGAACUAUCUCAUUACAAAAGACGACAUAAGGACUACAAACCUUGUGUGUACUAAGAACUGGAUCAGUAACUGUCAAAUCCAGCAGUUUCCAUAAGAAAUGGCCAAAAUGUCAGUUUUCAGAGAUCCUAUGUCUAACCGACGACCAUCUGAAAUGUAUCAAAAUGAGAUGAUUGAGUUAUACCAAAGUAAGCAGUUGAGAACAAUCCUUGGACUGUGGCGGAAUGCCCUUCCAGCCAAAUAAUUUCACCAAACGAAGACGACGAAGAGAGAGUAUUGAGCACGAACUGAAGGAAGGCCUCAAUGCACGUACAUAUGACCAGAGGAUGUUGCAUUCUAAAAAAUUACAGAGGCGGUUAAAGAUCUUGUACUCGCGUCCACAUCCUACUCUCUCGUACGCCAUCAGUUUGGUUUUAAGUCCCACAUCGGUGAAUGAGGAUAUGCUUGCUCUCACACGAGUAAUAUAAAAGAAACGUCGGAUCCAACUAACAACUCAUACCUUUCUCGGCCUUUUGGCUAAGAUCAAGUGUAGUAUCUGUUCUUAUCAGUUUAAUAUCUGAUAUGUGGGCCAUCGGCCCACACGAUAUUAACUCUAUUUUUUAAGGGAGAAAGCCCGUUAAGAUAGCUUGCUAUCUGGGCUUUCACGAGUCGCCCAUGCGUUGCACUAUUGCAAGGGCCUGGCUCAACCCGCCAACAUCAGUACUAAUAAUUCGUGAUUUAAUACAUAUAUAAUCAAAUUGGAAAGUAAUGAAAAACCAACUUGGACCAUACGAUAUUGGUGAAUUUCCUCUUAACCGAUUGUUCCGACCCCAAUUUCUGCCUGAACCAACCACGAAUUUAAAAACCAAACCGAUGUUCGUCGCUGUGAAACCUUCCCGGGAAAUAUCUGAGAGAAGAAGAGAUGGGAGAAGUGGGAAAGGCGAUCGGACUGCUGAUAAGCGGGACGCUUGUGUACCACCAUUGCGCUAAUCGGAAUGCGACUCUUCUCUCCCUCCUCUCUGACGUUCUCAUUGUUCUCUUAUCCUCUCUCGCCAUCCUCGGUCUUCUUUUCCGUCAACUCAAUGUCUCGUAAGAUCCUUGGAUUUCCCCCCCCCUUAAGUUUGAGACCUUUUCUUCAAUUCUUAUUGUUUCGACUAUACUGAUUUCUCGUACGUCUCCAAUUUGCUGAUCUAAGGUUAAAAAUUUGUAAAAUUCUUUGUUUUGGCUGUUUGAUCUGUUCAGAAUUCAAAACGAGUGUGCUUCUGCUGUGUUUAGUUUCUCAUAAUCGUGUGGAUGUUUAAACUUUUUUAUUGCUCUGAUGCAAGUUUCCGCGUGUUCACAGAACCAAAAAAGGUUCGAUUUCCUUUGGUUUUUAUCAUAACAAAUUAGGUAACCAAGCUCAAGGUUUUGUUUCUGUGAAUGUAUCAGCUUUUUAUAUUCAUAAGCAUGAGCUUUUGGCCAACUUUUUGUGUUUUUACUGUGUCUUUCUCAUAAUUUUAUCAUAAGUCAUCAACAUGAAAAGUGUAAUUGAUUUAAUGCUACCCUGUGUUUGAAAGACUCUUGCAUUCUUAAAAGUAGCAUGAUUUUCAAAGUAACAUGUUUUUUGUGAAGGGUACCUGUGGAUCCAUUAGAGUGGCAAAUAUCACAGGACACAGCCUGUAACAUUGUUGCGCGCUUAGCUAAUACUGUAGGAGCAGCUGAAUCCGUUCUGCGGGUUGCAGCAACAGGACAUGACAAGAGGCUAUUUGUUAAGGCAAGUGCAUUCUAAUUUUCUUGCUUUAUAAGAGGUAGUUUUCUUAUAUGAGUAGAGAUCACCUCGGUGCCUGCAAAGUACAUAACUAAGUACAAGAAUUUAUUGAUGAAGCAAAGAUGGUUAAGACCAUUGACUAAGAUUCCUCAGAAACCUGUCUGUUGUGGUUUUAGCCAAUUAACUCACCGAUGCAUUACAUUUCUCUGGUUUCAUACUUAGUGUCAGAAUUCUAAACUGAACUUUUGUUAUCUUCGCCUGUGUCUUUCUCUCAGGUUGUGAUCUGUCUUUACUUUAUGGCAGCUCUAGGACGAAUCAUAUCGGGUGUUACCAUUGCCUACGCAGGUAAAAAAGCAUAAUGAAUCCCUCUUAACCAUAAUGUUAAGACUGUUGGCGCAUUUAUAAUAGUGAAUUAAAACAUGAGAAGCACGAUGUGGAAUGAUGCUUUCGAUAUUUAUUUUGGAUACUUCUCUUCUUCUUCUUCCUGGUAUAAAAUGAAUGUCAAAGAAUCUGCAGAUACUGUUUUUGACUCUGUUACUUCUUCUCUCUAAAACAGGACUAUGUUUGUUCUGUCUCUCCAUGCUUUUUCAGAGUUCUAUCGGAAACUCUGUAUUGAACCGACCAAACGGAGCAGUUUUGGAAUGAGAAACACCUUCAGAGUUCUACCACACAAGCAAACUUUCUGAACUUGUUCUCUUCGUUUUGUCCUUUUCCACCUUACAUUUCAUAGCUUUGGAUAGUUGUAAUAAUUCCUGCAGUUCCUAAAUGUACAAUUUUUUUUUUUUUGUAAUUUAAAUCUGAGUUACAUUUAUCAAUGUCAACUAAAAGGAAAGUAAGAAAGUUUUGCUAGGAAUUGAAUAGUAUGUCCUAAGCAAAUGAUACACAAUUGAUUUACAUAUGAUACACAAGUGUUCAGAGAUUCUCAUGCUAUAAGAAAGUUCAUUACUUAACUAGCAAAAAAGUGCAAAACCUUUGAGAAAAAAUGAACUAGCAAAACCUUAAACCGGAUUCUAAAAGAACCGAACCGACUCCGGUAUAGUCAUCCCUUCUUGGCUCCGCAUCCGCCGCAGUUCGAGUGUUCCUCCUAAAUCUUCUUCCAACCCAACCAAAACCCUUUCGCCGUUUCUUGCUUUCACUUAUCUCGCCGGUGUAUUAUUCUGUCAAAGUCGCAAACUUUGUCCUAGAUCUCAAGUGGGUUUCCCAGAAAAGUUCCCACUUUCCCGAGAAAAGUCUUUUCAUGGUUAGGACCUUGGCGUCGCGGGUAAAAUGUUAUGGAGAUGCAAUUGGGUAAAGCAGAGAAGAAGAAUCCUUAACACACUCAGUUUCUCGUCGAGUCACGGUCAAUUCAGUGAAUAUCCUCGAAGAAUUGCUCCAAAGCCACUCACACACGAUAAUGUGUAUUCUUGUCUACGAGAGUCACCAUCUGAUCUCAAAACUUUGAAUUACUUCUUCUGGUGCGCGAAGCAGAACAACUACUUCCACGAUGAUCGAGCAUUUGAUCACAUGGUUAGUGUCGUUGAGAAGCUAACUCGGCGAUACAAUAACAUUGAUCGAAUCAUAGAGGAAUUGAAGCUAUCUGGUUGUGAGAUUAAGCCUCGGGUUUUCCUGUUACUGUUGGAAAUAUUUUGGCGUGGUCAUAUCUAUGAUAAGGCUAUCGAGGUCUACAAUGGCAUGAAUAGUUUUGGAUAUGUGCCCAACACUCGUGCCAUGAAUAUGAUGAUGGAUGUUAAUUUCAAACUCAAUCUUCUUUAUGGAGCUCUGGAAAUUUUUGAAGGAAUCCGUUUUCGAAAUUUCUUUAGUUUCGACAUUGCAUUGUGUCAUUUUGCCAGUCGAGGGUAUUUAGUUAUGGUUAGGAUAGUUUUGAAGAUGAUGAUCAGAGAAGGUUUUUAUCCUAACGGUGAGAGGUUUGGUCAGAUUAUUAGACUGUGCUGUAGAACAGGCUUCGUCCAUGAAGGGCUUCAAGUGGUUGGAUUGAUGAUAUGCAGUGGAAUCUCUGUUUCUGUUAAUGUCUGGAACACGUUGGUUAGUGGGUUUUUUCGAUCAGGAGAGCCGCAAAAGGCGGUUGAUCUGUUCAAUAAGAUGAUUCAUAGUGGUUGCUCCCCUAAUCUCGUGACAUAUACUAGUUUGAUCAAGGGGUUUAUGGAUUUUGGAAUGGUUGACGAAGCGUUUGGUUUGCUAAGUAUUGUGCAAUCCAAAGGUUUAGCUCCAGAUAUUGUUCUUUGCAAUAUGAUGAUACACACAUUCACGAGACUGGGGAGAUUUGAAGAAGCUAGCAACAUCUUCACCAGUUUGAAAAAUAGGAAACUUGUGGCGGAUCAGUAUACUUUUGCUUCAAUACUGUCCUGUCUAUCGUUGUCUAAAGAGUUCGAUCUCGUUCCUAGGAUCGCCGACGGUAUAGGAACAGAUUUUGAUCUGGUAACUGGAAACAUACUCUUAAACUAUUUCAGCAAGAGUGGUCACAAUUUGUACGCGUUGAAAGUACUCCGCAACAUGUCUAACAAAGAUUUUGCUUUGGAUUGUUAUACAUAUACUGGAUAUCUUACUGCGCUUUGUCGAGGAGGAGCAUUUCGCGAGGCGGUUAAGAUGUAUGAAAUAAUAACCCGGGAGAACAAAAGUCUCGAUGCACAUUUUCAUACUGCGAUAAUUGACAGUCUUAUAGAGCUUGGUAAAUACACUACCGCGAUUCAUUUGUUCAAACGGUGCAUCUUGGAGAAAUAUCCUUUAGAUGUUGUGUCGUACACAGUAGCUAUGAAGGGACUUGUCCGUGCGAAUAGGAUCAAUGAAGCUUGUUCUUUGUUUUAUGACAUGAAAGAAGAUGGGGUUGUUCCGAAUGGACGGACUUAUCGGACUCUUAUCUCUGGCUUGUGCAAGGAGAAAGAAAAUGAGAAAGUGAAAAAGAUAUUACGGGAAUGCAUUGAGGAGGGAGUUGAGUUGGAUCCUAAUACUAAGUUUAAAGUGUUUAGUCUAUUGUCUCCAUAUCGCAGAGAUUUCUCUGAAUUUAGAUCAGUUUUUGAUAAAUGGAGAUCGGAGUUCACAGAAGACGUGGAUGUUUCUGAUUCCGAUGAUGAAUUAUCUGUUUCUGUUGGUUGAGUUGGAGGAAAAUGUAUGAUGUACACAAUUGGCGUUGUAAUUCUUCUGUUCACUGUAUAUACCAAAAAUAAAAUAGCUGAUUNNNNNNNNNNNNNNNNNNNNNNNNNNNNNNNNNNNNNNNNNNNNNNNNNNNNNNNNNNNNNNNNNNNNNNNNNNNNNNNNNNNNNNNNNNNNNNNNNNNNNNNNNNNNNNNNNNNNNNNNNNNNNNNNNNNNNNNNNNNNNNNNNNNNNNNNNNNNNNNNNNNNNNNNNNNNNNNNNNNNNNNNNNNNNNNNNNNNNNNNNNNNNNNNNNNNNNNNNNNNNNNNNNNNNNNNNNNNNNNNNNNNNNNNNNNNNNNNNNNNNNNNNNNNNNNNNNNNNNNNNNNNNNNNNNNNNNNNNNNNNNNNNNNNNNNNNNNNNNNNNNNNNNNNNNNNNNNNNNNNNNNNNNNNNNNNNNNNNNNNNNNNNNNNNNNNNNNNNNNNNNNNNNNNNNNNNNNNNNNNNNNNNNNNNNNNNNNNNNNNNNNNNNNNNNNNNNNNNNNNNNNNNNNNNNNNNNNNNNNNNNNNNNNNNNNNNNNNNNNNNNNNNNNNNNNNNNNNNNNNNNNNNNNNNNNNNNNNNNNNNNNNNNNNNNNNNNNNNNNNNNNNNNNNNNNNNNNNNNNNNNNNNNNNNNNNNNNNNNNNNNNNNNNNNNNNNNNNNNNNNNNNNNNNNNNNNNNNNNNNNNNNNNNNNNNNNNNNNNNNNNNNNNNNNNNNNNNNNNNNNNNNNNNNNNNNNNNNNNNNNNNNNNNNNNNNNNNNNNNNNNNNNNNNNNNNNNNNNNNNNNNNNNNNNNNNNNNNNNNNNNNNNNNNNNNNAUUUCAAGUAUUUUCAUCUAGUAUAAUAUAUCCUAUCAAUACAAAGCCAUAAAUCAUGGAUUUUGACAUUCCUUUUGGCUUCAUCAAAUUUUGAGCUCACUUGUUUUACUAAUCAUCAUAAAACCAAGCUUUUUACUGCUUCUGCUCUCUACCAAACCCGUCUCCUAUCCAAUUCUUGUUCCUCUUUUUUUGGGUAAGGGCAUUUCUUCUUCCUCUUUAAGACGUGAGUUCCUUAACAUCCUUCAACCUCUUGAAUAUUUUCUUUUCAAAAAUAGCUCGAUCGAAUACUGUUGGAACAAAACCUAUUAACCUACUCAAGAGUCAGGAUCGUCGAGGUGUUUUGCCUGAGCUUACUGGUAUAGUAUCCAUAUUUAUCGCAGGAUAUCUGAAAAGACAUAAAAUCUCCCAUUUGUAAAAGAACAAGAGAGAAUACGCAUUAGAACAAAAUGCAAGAGAAGAGGAUGAAUGAGGAGACGAAAUGAAAACUUAGAUUGCAAUUUCUUUUCGUAAUGUAGAAACUAUACUGGGUUAGAUUACCUCGUUUCCAAUUAACAUAAACAACUUGUUAACAAUAGAAAGAGCAACGAAACAGAUAUAUAUACAUACACACCGACUGUUGAAAAAGAACAGUUUACAUUAUAACAAAAGGAAAUGCUACGAACCUACAACAACUAAUCUUAUUCAUUUUUUUCACAUUUCGGGAUCAGAAAGAGAAAGAUGGUUUGUCUAUAUCGCAUCUUCGCACUUGCUCUUGGACAUCCGAAUUGUCCCAGUCGCUCCUGUUCUUGACAAAUCUACAAAUCCUGAAAAACCCCAAUCUUUAUGUGAUCAGAAACCAAAUACUUUCGCCUUAAUAAGGAUUCAUAGAUUUAUCUGAUCGAUCAUUCCAUUAAGAUCAUAACUUUAUAGUUAAGGUGGAUAAUAACUCACCCAAACGAGAAGUGCAGUUUUACACUUCCUCAUCCUCGGAGUGAGACUCAGUAUGUGAAGCUGUGUUGUCGGACUUGGUCUCCAUCAGUUUAGGUUGUAAUCCUGAACCACCCAAGGAACACAUCAAUAAUGUUAAUGAAUGACCGACACAAAAAUCGAUUCUCAGAGCAACACAGCUAUUAAAGAACCUGUUCCACCACAUACGCUACUGCCUAUAGGAAUAAUGAUUGGUUCUCUAAAUGUUAAUCAAAUAUAUUGAUCUCCCAUUCAGAACCUGUAACAACAUCGAGCAAUGACUAGCUUUAAGUAUUGCAUUAGCAACAACAAUGUCAAAUCUUCUAUAUCUGCCACUAAUUCAAUCAUCUGAAUGCUCAAAACUUGAUCAAAAUUCCUAGGUAGCUAACGAUGAUUAAAAAGCUCUACAUAUUCAAUAUUCCAAUCCCAAGCUUUCUAGAUGAUCAUUUUCCAGUCCCAAAUCGCAAAAAAAAAAAAUGGAUGAUCAACCGAACCACUAAACACCUAUCUCAUUUUCAUAAAAUACAGAGAGAUAUAACAAAAAGAACCUUUAAGGAAAUAAUCGGAGGAAGGCCAUCCAUGAGACGAAUUGGUAGAUAACGAUUCGUCGUCGGUUAAGGGAUUCGCGAGCUUGGCAACGAGCUGAGCGAUUCCAUGAGACUGAGAUCCAGAUCCAGGAGGCGGUACCCAAUACGAAGCACCGGGAACAAAAGGGAGCCAAUCAGGCGCAGAUCGGCGUACAAAUAUCCGGUGAACGGCGUCCUCGAGCUUCUGAAUCAAAGGAUCCGACGGCGAUUGCGACGCCGCGACAUCGAUUUCGUAAAGAUCGCCACGGCGACCGGAGGAUUGAGAUCGGAAGGAAACGAGGUGCGAUGAAGGGAGGAGAGAAGAUGAUGCGGCGGCGAGACGGCUUUUAGAGAGAGAAAGUGAAAGAGAGAUAGAUCGAGCCAUCAUCAGCUAAAAGAGAAGAGCGACGAGAUCGGUUUCGGUUUCGGUUUCGGUUUCGGAAUCAACGCUGUAAUUAUAAGUUUUGGAUAAUGCUGAGACCAAGCUUUUCCUUUUUUUUCCCACCCUUUUUAUCGUAAUUUUUGUUUGAUUUAUUAUUAUUACCUACAGAUUUUAUUUUAUUUCAUUUUACUUUUCAGCCGACUUGACUAAAUUAGCUGUCCUUUUUUUAAGUACUACGGAUAAACCACGGACUAUUAGGAAACCUAUGGUUUUAGGACUGUUAAUCCUAGGGGCGUACAUAAUCUAUAAUUGACUUAAAAUGUUUGUUUAUAAACUGAUAUAUGAAAUACUAUAUUUAUUUAUGAUAUGUUUUAAACCAGAAAUUAGUUUGUGUUUAUUAUAUUGUUAAAGAAAACAAAGUAAAAUUGUGUUUAUAUUCGUUACCGUACCUCCAAUAAUCCCAAGAGGCCAAGACUGUGAAAAAUGAAAAAGGAAUCCAAAAUAUGUCAUAGUCACUGUUUCAAUCUUAAGAUAUUUUGCCAGCUAAAAACCAAAAAAAAAAAAGGUAUCUAAAUUAAAUUCUAAACAUGGUGGGGAAAGUAUUAUAGAUUUCAGAAACGAAGACUAGUUGAAUCACCGUCACAAAUCACAAUCAUCAGUCUUAUUGGUAUAUACAAUAUAGUUUCCAGCCUUUUAUAAUAUGAUUAAAUAGAUAUUUUGUUAAAGUGUGUUAGAUAUUUUGGGUCGACGGUCUAGGUAACUAUAUUAUCAUUGUUCGCGAGGCUACGUAUCCUUCUUCUAGUUUUUUUUUUGGUUAAAGAGGUAUCGACUCAUCAAUCCCAAAACAUAUCAUUAAAUCCCAAGUUAUCUUUGAUCAAAUUAACUCUGCUGGAAACGUAGAAUCUAAAAUAUAAUAUUCAUGACAAAAAGAAGAACAAAUAAGUCAUGUGGAUCUGGUCGUUGUUGUAUACAGAGCAACCAUGUGAUGUAGACCAAAACAAAAAAAAACAGAGUCGUUUGAUUUGAUCCCAAUAGAAGAAAACACACUGAUGAUUAUUUUUAAUUGAUAAAAAGGGCCCCUCGUAAGCUUAAGACGGACGACAGCGUAUUUAUAGCUCUUCAGAACCCUCCGACUGCGGCUUCACUCCACCGGAAAAGCUCCUCUUCACUUUUUCUUUCACCGCUUCUGCCGUGUCACUCACCACUUCCGCCGCUGAUUUAGCAGCUUCUUCCACCGUCGCUUUACUAUUCUCAAAGCUCCUCGUCGCCGCCUCUUUCAUAUUUUCACCCGCUCCCAUUGGGGCAUCAUUCUUUCCUGUAAAACUGUAUAUAUACAAGGAAACGGAUCGUUUUGAGCUCAAAACAAACAAGAUUCUCCGAACCAAACGAAGAUUUGAGAGUAAUUUUUUUUAUACUUACUAUGUAUUGGGAGGAAAGAAGUGGGACUGUCCACGAUCCAAAGUCUCCCUGAGUUUGGCCCAGUAGUUUUUACCAGUACUUCUAAUUUUAGUUAGCCAAACCGUCGUCGUUUUGUCUUCAGAUGGCACCGCUCUCUGAGAAUCGACGUCAUCGGCCGAAGCUUUCACUGAUAACACCACGAAGAGGACGAAGAAGAUCGAGAAUAUGCAUAGCAUGUGAAAACCUUUUCCAUGCUUUACCUUUUCGGCCAUUUUUUUUUUUGAUUUAUUUUAAUGUUUUCUCUGUGUUUAUAUUAAUGCGGUGAGAGGAAGCUGAGGACCAAACUUACAUACAUAUAAUAAACCUAUAACAUGAGUUUUGAGUUUUGCCAAGCCAGUCGGCGAUAAAGUCCUGGUAGGGACAUAACACGUGUCUGGCGGGUCGAACCACGAAACGACAAAACUACCGACGUGAAAUGUGGUGGCUCAUGCGACAUCAAGACACGUGGCCCUUUCACCCCACUUUCAGAUUAUUUCGUUUUUGAGCAAUUUUGAACUGACCGGUUUGUUUAGUUGAGCAAAACCGGUCUUCUCCGACCGUUUCGAUUUCCAAUUUCCAAAAUUAUGUCACGACAAGAAAAACGGUAAAAUUCUCUAUUUGGGUUGGUAGUCCAACGCAAGGCAUUAGGUGACUAAUCGUAUGAUAAACAGACUACUCAAAUUCGAAUUAAAUAUUGUGUUAAAUUAUUAUUUAAGCUAAAGGAUGAGAAACCCUCUUUGUUAUGAUUAUGAAUAAAAAAAAUGCCAAGACCUAUACACCUUAGUUUUGAUUUGAUUAAAGAUAAAACUAGAGUCCACAAAGCAUCAAGACAGGUGACCACGUUUGUGUGUUUUAUUGUUUAUAGAUGUUGUAAUAUUAAGGGCCUGACUCGAAAUUAACCUUUUAUAUUUCUUUGUGUUAAUUCACUUUCAAGAAAUAUAUAGUUUUUUAUAUAAUUAUAGAUGGUGUAUUCGUCUUGCUUUCAAUCAUUAUAAAUGAGUUACAUUAUUAGCUAUUACGUGUCUUUCGCGCGUCGAGGUUUUCGCAUAAUGCAUACUAAAAAUAAUGAAUGAAUCACAUGUUCUUCAAAUUUGUAUAUAUCUCUCACUCUGAUUAAGUUAGGUGUUAGUUUUUUUAAAUAUAAUAGUAUUCCUCCUUAAAGAAUUAUAAUAGAGCUUGAUUAACGGGGGUAAUAGAUUGACUAACCAUUCGAUGUGACCAAUCAUAAUUACGAAUUUACUUUGCUUGAAAGAAAAGCUUUCAAUAAUUAACUUAACCCAAUCGACCUAAUUAAAACGCAACCAAUUACACCUUUGGCGUGAGGAGAAAAUUAAAUUUAAAUGUAUAUGUGUUUUUUUUUUUUUUGGCUUUACCAUACAUACUUGCUCUAAAUUCUACAGAAUAUGUAGAGUUUUAAAUAAAUAAAAAAAGACAAAACUAAUUUAUACAAAAGGUUUGGUGGAAAGAAGCUUAUUGCGUUUCAAAUGAUGCUAAAAUACGUUCUUGUAAUGUCGACAUAGAAAAACAUUACAUUAUAUUUGAAUUUACACCUUAAUUUUUUGUUCUCUUUGUAAAAAAAAAAAAGUACAGAGUGUUUCUUCUUCCUCUUUGUAACAGUUUGGUAGACAUUUAAAAAGAGAAAAAAAUAAAAAACCUUAGCCCUUUUUUAGAGAGAGAAAGAAAGAGAGAGAGAGAGAGAGAGACUGAGACAACUCAUCAGUUGUUGCGGCUGAAAGAGAGAUAGAGAGAUCGAGAUCGAGAUCCACACGACGGAGAAGAGAGCUCACCGGCGGGUGAUGGGAUCUUGGCUUCCCCAGUAUUGCUUCCGCUUCGUCUUCUACUGUCACUCCCUCAACAAAUAGCAAUUACUUGAGAAGCUUAGCUGCAUUUUCUCCGAAACUCACGCACACUCUUUUACUCAGGUACCCAUCCCAGUUUCUUCUCAAUUUUCAUUUUCCUCGAUUCGAUUCUUCUUGGCUGAUCGUGUUUUUUUCUUCCUUUUCUGGGGUUUAUCCUCUCUCUUCUUUUUUUUUUUUCCCUGAUUCCAAUUUUUCUGUUUUUUUUUUUGGGGAUACGUUUGGGAAAUGGGGAUCUAGAUUUCAGACUUUUGUACUCUAUAUGAUUUUGGGUAAUUUACUUGAAAUGGAAACUGCUUCUAAAUCCGAGAGAAGUCCUUUGUUUGGGUGUGUGAUAGAUACGGCGUUGAAUUUUUCAAGUGACAAGUCCACCGAUCUUUCUGGGAGUUUUUGGAAUUUUUCUCAAUUCAAUUAUUUCUAUGAUUCAGCUUCUGGGCAAUUCGAUUAUGGAGAAACGUUUUUAGAUUCUAACAAGUCAAUCCCUGGUUAACGCAGUAAUUGGUAAUAUAAACUUAGAGAUCUGAGCCUAUAGUUUGUGGUCCACUUAAGAAUACAAAUGGCUAUUCUGAUUUCUGAGUAAAAAAAAAACUGAGUUCUGGCUGCUAUAGCUUGUAGUUGUCGGCAUAGGUCUGUCUCUGAAGCCUGCUUCUUUUGUAUUUCUGAUUGUGGUAUUGCCCAUUGUUUCAUCUGUCACAAUUGUAAUCUGACUAGGACUUUUUCUUCAUUUUUAUAAUGUUGUUAUGUCUAUACAUGUGAAGCAGUUCUGCAUUUGGGUCAUUUCUCACUACUUCCUGUGUUUCUUUUUCCCUCUGUAGGAUUUGUAAUUCUUACGGUUGAACAUAGUGUUUGUUGUGGUAUUCAGACUUCAAAGUAACUUGCUCUGGGUUUUCUUUAAGUAACCAAAAUGGGUUCAAGAUACCCAUCUCAUCAGCUCAGCAAUGGGCUAUUUGUGUCUGGUCGGCCUGAGCAACCCAAAGAACGGCCUCCAACCAUGAGCGCAGUAGCCAUGCCUUACACGGGUGGCGAUAUCAAGAGAUCAGGAGAAUUGGGGAAGAUGUUUGAUAUUCCAACAGAUGGGACUAAGUCAAGGAAGUCUGGUCCCAUACCUGGUGCUCCUUCAAGGUCUGGCUCAUUUGCAGGAACUGCUCAAUCAGGUCCAGGUGCUCCUAUUGCCACUGGCCGUAUGUCUGGGUCUUUAGCCUCUGCUGGCUCAGUUUCAAUGAAAAAAACCAACUCUGGACCUUUGUCUAAGCAUGGAGAGCCGUUAAAGAAAUCAUCUGGACCACAAUCUGGUGGUGUAACACGGCAAAAUUCUGGUCCUAUUCCUAUUCUUCCAGCUACAGGUCUCAUCACCUCUGGGCCUAUUACAUCAGGCCCUCUGAAUUCAUCUGGAGCCCCCAGGAAGGUUUCUGGUCCUCUAGACUCUUCUGGUUUGAUGAAGUCACAUAUCCCUGCUGUUGUCCACAACCAGGCGGUAACGACCCUUGGUCCAGAAGAUGACUUUUCCUGCUUGAAGAGCUUCCCAAAGCCUGUUCUGUGGCUGGUUGUUCUUAUCUUCAUAAUGGGUUUCCUUGCCGGAGGCUUCAUUCUUGGAGCAGUUCACAACCCAAUUCUCCUCGUUGUUGUCGCCAUAUUGUUCACAGUUGUUGCUGCACUUUUUAUUUGGAAUAUGUGUUGGGGGAGACGUGGUAUCACAGAUUUCAUUGCUCGUUACCCUGAUGCUGAUCUUAGAACAGCCAAAAAUGGUCAAUACGUGAAAGUCACUGGGGUAAGCAUCCUUGUGCCAAUCUUACAAUUGACUAUUUUAUGUUUUUUUAGUCUGCUGCUAGUCUACUUACCAGAAAUGUGACUUCGGUCUCUGAUCAUACAAUUACAUCAAUAAUUUGGCUGCAAUUGAUAGAAGGCGAUAGCUUUUUGCAUCUGAUAUCUUUUAAACUAAUAACAAACAGAGUACUACUUUGUUAUAAUAGUGGAGUAAAACAUGUUUGGAUGGAUAGAAGCAGAGAUUGCGUUAGAUAUUGGAAUGCAUUUGUAAACUUGGCUUGCUCUGUGUGUGACCUGAUUUUUGUUUUAUUGUUUGAAGGUGGUUACUUGUGGUAAUGUACCCCUUGAGUCAUCCUUCCACAGAGUCCCCAGAUGUGUGUACACGUCGACAUGUCUAUAUGAGUAUCGUGGAUGGGGUUCAAAACCAGCCAAUUCUUCCCAUCGUCACUUCACAUGGGGACUGAGAUCAUCAGAGGUUAGUUAUUCCCCCAGUAUUUCGUUUUCACAGAGGAAAUGUUAUAUUAUCUUCCUCAACCUCAUCAAAGAACACUUCCUUGUACCAUUAUGUGGCAGAGACAUGUGGUGGACUUCUACAUCUCUGAUUUUCAAUCUGGGCUCAGAGCCUUAGUUAAAACUGGAAACGGUGCAAAGGUGACACCUCUUGUAGAUGAUUCUGUUGUUGUCGAUUUUAAGCAAGGAAGCGAGCAAGUGUCUCCCGAUUUUGUUCGAUGGUUAAACAAGAAGAAUCUAACGAGCGAUGAUCGAAUAAUGCGGCUCAAAGAAGGGUACGGAACAAACACUUCAUAAACAACUCUCAAAGUUGGAAAACCCUUAACAGUAAUAGAAGCUUUGAUCCUGAUUCUUGGAUUUCCAUUUCAGAUAUAUAAAAGAAGGAAGCACAGUGAGUGUGAUUGGAGUGGUGCAGAGAAACGAUAAUGUGUUAAUGAUAGUUCCCUCAUCUGAGCCACUUGCAGCUGGUUGGCAAUGGAGGAGAUGUACAUUCCCUACAAGUCUUGAAGGAAUCGUAUUGAGAUGUGAAGACUCAUCAAAUGUUGAUGCCAUACCUGUUUGAGUUAUCAUCAUCAUCAACAUUCGAGUUUGGGUUCAUUAAAUAUUUUUCAUGAAUCUGGAAAAAAAUGUGAUCUUCCUGGUGGCUUCAUUCGGUGGUGGUUGUAGUGUUAUUUUCUUUCUUUUUAAUUCUCAUUAAUUUUUUUUUUCCUGUGUUCGAGUUAUUCCGGUUGGGAUGGUGAGGUUUCAUUUUCUUAAGAUGAGCUAAUUGUUUUUUCUUCUUAUUCCUCUUCUUCGCCUUUUGGUUUGUAUAGCUCUUCAAGUCAAUUCUUUUCCAAUAGAACCUGUGUAUUUUUCUCAAGGUGUUAUGUUGUCUAAAUCUUUCCUUUUUGUGGAAACAUAUCUUUUUGCUGUUUCUUUUUAAACCCUAUCUGGUUGUGUCAUGUUAUAUGCCAUUUGUGUAUUCAUUCCUAAUCAGCAGAAUAAAUAUGCUAUCUCGAUUUUUUUCCUCCAUUAAUUGCCAGAUUAGUGAGUUGACAACUUUUACCUUUUCCCCACAUUUUGUAUAUUUUGCAUCUACAUGACUGCAUUGUUUUGUCAAUUGGAGCCAUAAUAAAUGAGAGGCACUGAUUUUAUUAGAAAGAAAUUAAGGUUAAGAAACCAGUGUUUUACAGACAGCCAAGACCUAAAAACUACGAACUCAAACAACAAAAAUCUUCCUUUAAUUCAGAAAGGACAAUGAAAAGAGUUGUUUCCCAAACUGAAUGGAUAACUUUAAACACCAGCAAAGGCGACCAACCUUAAUGUAACCAAAAUCACAAUCUAAUUUUGUUUGUUUGUGUGUUUGCUUGCUUCUCAAUGGGACUAACCAACCUCAACGCAUGAAAGGGACUAACCAACGCAUCUCAGCUCCAUUCCCAUUUGCCAGAUAGUAUAUCUUCUUCCAGUUUUCUUCUGUAAAUACUUCACGCCGAACUAGUCUUUGCCUGAAACAAUAGCAGAUCGAACGUUCAUGACAACGAUAUUCAGUUUCAUACAUUUCUCUCAAGUAGAUAAACUCCAUGAUGAAUCAAAACUACAAAUAGGGGUCUGAUAAGUAGAGAGGAUUACAGAGCUGAGUACUAUUGGUAUUAUGUAACUCACCGAAGGUAGUAAUAGCAGACAGCUUCUGCUUCUUCCAAAGAAUAACGUGGGAAAGGCUGACGAGCAUCAACUGGAACAUCUGGCAAGUCUUUGCGUAGUUUUCCCACUGCUGUUGAAUGUGAGAAUGCACCCACCAUCAUAUCUUCAUGCAUCAUGCUUCUGAAAGCGUUCACCUGCCAAAAUAAUUGAGUGAAUUGGGGUUGCUUUCUUUCUCUCAAUCAGAUAGAAUUUGGAAGAAAAAUCCACCGUUGUAAGUUCUCUGGCAUGUAUAGGUCGGCAAGAACGUGGUGUUACAGGCUCCUCAAACUCACUGAAUGUAAACCAGCUGUUAUACUGAAAGACAGAGUAACAACAAACAAAAUUAACGAUAGUGGAAAAAAGACGCAGCUUUAAAAUAAUAUCAUAUGAAAUCACAAGAGGGAAAUUGAGGGACUAACUUGAUCGAUUGCAAUCAACACUGGUACAUCUUUUACGAGUGAGAGCUCUUUUCUAAGUCGCACUACGACAUUAACUGAUGCAUGAGUGCUCUUAAUCCCCAUUUGCACAAGGUCAUACAGAGUUGAAUCCUCUGGAACUGGCAUGGUAUCUGCUCCUUUCAGGUAUCCUACACCCGCACCCUCUCCAAGCACGAUGGGAUCAUGUAUUUUGCACCUUAACUCUUUUAAACGGGAUUCAUUGAACUUGACAAAGUCCUACAGAAGUUAACUUUAAUAAGAGAUGCUUUUAACUAGGAAGAAUUCCAUUCGGAAAGAGGAGGCAUGUGAAAUCUUGCCUUGAGAAUAUUCUCAGCUUGUAGAGGAGUGUCCCAAAAACCUGUAUGUGGAUUCUUAUAGAAGUAACCUCCAUGAGUCCAGUCACGUCCUUUCGGGGCAUAUAAAACUAGCCAGCCUUCGUCACGUGCCCAGUGAACAAGCAUCGCCAAAGCAAUACUCUUUCCACAUUUAACAGGGCCAUCCAGGAAAAUCUGUUUCUUAAGUUUGACACCUUUUCAGGAAAAGAGAACCAAUGGUUAAAAAAAUAAUUAAAGGCAUUACAGAUCCCAGAUAAGGCCAUAUGACAAGCAAAACUAAAACCAACAGAUUAUAUUGUUCACGUUUCUAAAAGGAGAAAAUAUAACCAGCUGACCGCUGAAGAGAUCACUAUUCGUAUACUACAUAAGAAUACAACCUAACGCACAGAAAGGUUCAAUAAAAAAAACUCACCUUUACCGUCACUUGGCCACAUAGGAGGAUCAGCAAUGCGUCUGAAAUUAUCCCUAAGAGCCAAGAAACUUUUUCUCACAAGCAAAGCAGGUCUCCAUGAUUCAUUAAACUCGUCUUGGAUUCCUGAAGCCAAUCCCUCCGGCAGAACUGCUUUCAGUGCUGCCUCACUACAUUCGCACAUUAUACAUAACAUCAACACAAAAUUCCGAAAGUGUGAAACAGAAUAUCACAGAGGAUAAGGGAAGAUAGAAUUAAGAUUACUCGAAUUUGAAGUAGGAGCCAAUAUCCUUGUGAGAAAGCUGCGAGAGUGUAGUCUCUUUGGGAGUAAAGAGAGGCCUUCCAUUAGGACCUACAUCUAGAGACGGAAUCUUCUCAUCAUCAGCUAACCUCUUGGCUCGACCGGCUUCGAGGUCAUCUCCUCCGCCGCCUCCAAACUCUCCGUCCUCGGCUCCGGCGGCACCAGGAUCGCCGCCUUUAGGUUUGGAUUUUUUGCCUUCAGCCUUCUUGGUCUUGGUGAUAGAAGAUUUGGUGCUCUUCGAAGAUGAAAAGCAUCGAUGCACAUGAUCUAAACUCGGGAGAAGUGUUUCCACGGCGGGCGCUGAGAAAUGAGAAACGGUAUCAUUUAGAAUCGAAGACCUCCGAUUCAAUUUGAGGUUCCCGGCGGCUAUUCUUACGACGGACCUCCACAUUUUUCGCUGGCUCGCUAUCUCUCACUCUCUCGUCAGUCGUCACCGUCUAAAGGUUUAGGGAGGGGAUUUGGGCGCAAAUCUGACGACCAAGCAAGGAAGGAAAGGGCUGAAGCAGCGAGCUAAGCAAAGUGGCAAACUUGUAAAUUUCGACAUGAUCAGCUUAGCACUAAGCCCAUUAAAUAUUGGGCCGAUAUAGCAUGUUUGUGCUGACAAAACCCCUUAGGAUCCAUAUUCCUUGUGUAGUUAUGUAUAGAAUUUAUAUUCUUCUUUUUUUUUAGCAGCUAUAAUUUAUUUUUAAUACAGAAAUAUGGUUUGUUUUUCCUAAUCAGUAAGCUAAUAUAAAGGACGAGGGUAUAUCAUAUGUGCAUUUAAUCAUUGAAUAUGAUAACUGAUCAUACAUUUAACUCAAUAACAUGCUAUUUUGAAAUAAUACUUAUCAAGUUAUUUGUUGAGAAAAAUCAUAUUAUAUAUUAAUGGUUUUGGUACCACGAUAUUUUUCAACUUUGUUUUAGGUUUAUAGUUAGGUAGCAAAAUAAGCCUUUUUUCUUUGUCAAAUUAAUAUAUAAUUUUAAAAUUUUUAACUUUAAUAGCGUCACCUAAUUUAACUACGCGGUAAAACACUUUGAAAGUAUGGGCGAAUAGGAUGUCACAUCCGAUAAAAUUGGGGCCAAUAGAAUAACGCAAUUUGUCGCGAAUUGUGAAAUUAAAAAGAGAAAUAAAAGAGAGAGAGACCAAAUAAAUAUAAUAAAAAGUGGGAGAAAGAAAUAAAGGAAAAGGAAAGCAAGAGAAAUGGCGAUCUAACGUUGAAGAUAAUAACAAGACAAAUUUGUGUCUCAUAUCUUUUUUAUUAUCCUCUCAUGGCGGAUAACACAAGAAUUGUCCAGAGGCUCUUCAUCUUCUUCUUCUUC